This 253-nucleotide ribosomal RNA is filed under the name uncultured bacterium. RNAcentral describes it as "partial 16S ribosomal RNA". It matches the Rfam family "Bacterial small subunit ribosomal RNA", at positions 524 to 776 of the family's 1533-position model. The record is from RNAcentral.
UACGGGGGGGGCAAGCGUUGUUCGGAAUUACUGGGCGUAAAGGGCUCGUAGGCGGCCAACUAAGUCAGACGUGAAAUCCCUCGGCUUAACUGGGGAACUGCGUCUGAUACUGGUUGGCUUGAGUGCAGGAGAGGAAUGCGGAAUUCCAGGUGUAGCGGUGAAAUGCGUAGAUAUCUGGAGGAACACCGGUGGCGAAGGCGGCAUUCUGGACUGCAACUGACACUGAAAGACGAAAGCCAGGGGAGCAAACGGG